RNAcentral lists this ribosomal RNA (650 nucleotides) under uncultured bacterium. RNAcentral describes it as "bacterial SSU rRNA". It matches the Rfam family "Bacterial small subunit ribosomal RNA", at positions 81 to 765 of the family's 1533-position model. The record is from RNAcentral.
GACGACCUCGGAUAGUGGCGGACGGGUGAGUACACGUGAGAAUCUGGCUCUAGGUCGGGGACAACAGUUAGAAAUGACUGCUAAUACCGGAUGUGCCGCAAGGUGAAAGAUUUAUUGCCUGGAGAUGAGCUCGCGUCUGAUUAGCUAGUUGGUGGGGUAAAGGCUUACCAAGGCGACGAUCAGUAGCUGGUCUGAGAGGACGAUCAGCCACACUGGGACUGAGACACGGCCCAGACUCCUACGGGAGGCAGCAGUGGGGAAUUUUCCGCAAUGGGCGAAAGCCUGACGGAGCAAUACCGCGUGAGGGAGGAAGGCUCUUGGGUUGUAAACCUCUUUUCUCAAGGAAGAACACAAUGACGGUACUUGAGGAAUAAGCAUCGGCUAACUCCGUGCCAGCAGCCGCGGUAAUACGGAGGAUGCAAGCGUUAUCCGGAAUGAUUGGGCGUAAAGCGUCCGCAGGUGGUCUUGUAAGUCUGCUGUUAAAGCGUGAGGCUCAACCUCAUAAUGGCGGUGGAAACUACAAAACUAGAGUACGUUCGGGGCAGAGGGAAUUCCUGGUGUAGCGGUGAAAUGCGUAGAUAUCAGGAAGAACACCGGUGGCGAAAGCGCUCUGCUAGGCCGUAACUGACACUGAGGGACGAAAGCUAGGG